UACAGAGGGGGCAAGCGUUAUUCGGAAUUAUUGGGCGUAAAGGGCGCGUAGGCGGCCUGGCAAGUGGAAGGUGAAAUCCCUCGGCUUAACCGAGGAACUGCCCUCCAAACUGCUUGGCUUGAGACCGGGAGAGGUGAGUGGAAUUCCCAGCGUAGCGGUGAAAUGCGUAGAUAUUGGGAGGAACACCAGUGGCGAAGGCGGCUCACUGGACCGGUACUGACGCUGAGGCGCGAAAGCGUGGGGAGCAAACGGG
This 253-nucleotide ribosomal RNA is filed under the name uncultured bacterium. Its description in RNAcentral is "partial 16S ribosomal RNA". It matches the Rfam family "Bacterial small subunit ribosomal RNA", at positions 524 to 776 of the family's 1533-position model. The record is from RNAcentral.